GACGUGACUUCAGAGUUUGAUCCUGGCUCGGGAUGAACGCUGGCGGCGUGCAUAACACAUUCAAGUCGAACGGAGUUAAAUUCAUUAAUCCUUCGGGAAGCGUGGAAAUAACUUAGUGGCGGACGGGUGAGUAACGCGUGAGCAACCUGCCUCUGUAUGAGGGAUAACGUCGGGAAACUGACGCUAAUACCUCAUGACACGUAGAGAACGCAUGUUUUUUACGUCAAAGAUUUAUUGUACAGAGAUGGGCUCGCGUCCGAUUAGAUAGUUGGUAAGGUAACGGCUUACCAAGUCUGCGAUCGGUAGCCGGACUGAGAGGUUGAACGGCCACAUUGGAACUGAGAUACGGUCCAG
RNAcentral lists this ribosomal RNA (354 nucleotides) under uncultured bacterium. Its description in RNAcentral is "bacterial SSU rRNA". It matches the Rfam family "Bacterial small subunit ribosomal RNA", at positions 1 to 334 of the family's 1533-position model. The record is from RNAcentral.